Molecule: ribosomal RNA, 479 nt
Filed under: Paratapes undulatus (undulate venus clam)
Lineage: Eukaryota; Metazoa; Mollusca; Bivalvia; Venerida; Veneridae
Description: partial 16S ribosomal RNA
Rfam family: Bacterial large subunit ribosomal RNA
Source: RNAcentral
CGCUUCUUGCUUAACAAAGAUAAGAAGUCGGGCCUGCCCGGUGAGCUAUAUUAAACGGCUGCAAUGAGAGUUGUACUAAGGUAGCGCGAUAAUUUGUCUCUUAAUUGGAGAAUGGUAUGAAUGGUUUGUCGCAGAUCAAUUGUCUCUGAAAAAAAAAACGAAGUUUCCUUUUAAAUGAAAAGGUUUAAAUACUUGUAAAAGACGAGAAGACCCUGCCGAGCUGAAUUAUUCUGAGGUAAUUGGGUAGCUUGAUUAUCUUUAGUUGAAAUUUAGCUGGGGAGAGCUGGAUUUAAUUGAAUAAAUCCUAAUAAGACAAUGAUCCUUUUUGAGAGAAAACUGGUAAGAGCUACCGCAGGGCUAACAGCGUAAUUCUUCUUGAGAGACCCUAUUGAGGGAAGAGUUUGCGACCUCGAUGUUGGAUUAGGAGAGCUUUUUGGUGCAGCAGCUAAAAGUUGCAAGACUGUUCGUCUUUUAAAUCU